RNAcentral lists this ribosomal RNA (292 nucleotides) under uncultured bacterium. Its description in RNAcentral is "partial 16S ribosomal RNA". It matches the Rfam family "Bacterial small subunit ribosomal RNA", at positions 505 to 796 of the family's 1533-position model. The record is from RNAcentral.
GUUACAGCAGCCGCGGUAAGACAGAGGGUGCGAGCGUUGUUCGGAAUUACUGGGCGUAAAGCGCAUGUAGGUGGUGUAGCAUGUCAAGUGUGAAAUCCCCCGGCUUAACCGGGGAAGUGCACUCGAAACUGCUAUGCUAGAGUUCGGAAGAGGAAGGUGGAAUUCCAGGAGUAGAGGUGAAAUUCGUAGAUAUCUGGAGGAACACCCGUGGCGAAGGCGGCCUUCUGGUCCGUUACUGACACUGAGAUGCGAAAGCGUGGGGAGCAAACAGGAUUAGAUACCCUUGUAGUCC